AACGAACGCUGGCGGCAGGCCUAACACAUGCAAGUCGAGCGCCCCGCCAGGGGAGCGGCGGACGGGUGAGUAACGCGUGGGAAUAUGCCCUUUGCUACGGAAUAGUCUCGGGAAACUGGGGGUAAUACCGUAUACGCCCUUUGGGGGAAAGAUUUAUCGGCGAAGGAUUAGCCCGCGUUGGAUUAGGUAGUUGGUGGGGUAAUGGCCUACCAAGCCGACGAUCCAUAGCUGGUUUGAGAGGAUGAUCAGCCACACUGGGACUGAGACACGGCCCAGACUCCUACGGGAGGCAGCAGUGGGGAAUCUUAGACAAUGGGGGCAACCCUGAUCUAGCCAUGCCGCGUGAGUGAUGAAGGCCUUAGGGUUGUAAAGCUCUUUCAGCUGGGAAGAUAAUGACGGUACCAGCAGAAGAAACCCCGGCUAACUCCGU
This 430-nucleotide ribosomal RNA is filed under the name uncultured bacterium. Its description in RNAcentral is "partial 16S ribosomal RNA". It matches the Rfam family "Bacterial small subunit ribosomal RNA", at positions 29 to 506 of the family's 1533-position model. The record is from RNAcentral.